UUUUUGAUUAUAUGGACACAAGCUAUCAUGACUUUAUCAAUAAUAAGUUUGCCUCGUACAAAAGCACUCUCGAUUGGAGAUAUAGGCCCAGUUCUUUUCGCUCAAUUCUGGCGAUUUGAAGUUUGAAAAAUCAAAAGCGUAAAAGAACUCAAUUUGAUUGUCUAAAAUCAUCUAAGAAUAGCUAGAAUCGGUAGUGCAAUCAAAAAUCAACUCGAAACCUUACUUCUCGCGAUUCUGGGUCAUCCAGCAAAAUAAAACGGUUCAGUUUAAGAUACUAGCCCUAUUUAAAAUGCAGCUUACAAGAGAACUGCCACAUGUGGCCACCCACACCCACGAAAACGAGUCGUGUGACUCAUUCCUCCCGAUCCCCACCUCCCCACUCACCCUCGCAGUAGGGUUCCAGGGUCGCUGUUGCCGCCGUCGUGCGCCGCCCAAGAGUCCUCCCCGGCCGCUCCUUCACCCCGCCCGAAGUCGACCCUCCGACCCGCUCCUCCGCUCUGCCCGCUCGCCUCCAGGGCCAAAGUCGUUGCUCCGCCCUGUCCGCUCACCUCCUGUCCCGCAAUAGUUGCUCCGCCCCGC
Molecule: long non-coding RNA, 579 nt
Filed under: Hordeum vulgare
Lineage: Eukaryota; Viridiplantae; Streptophyta; Magnoliopsida; Poales; Poaceae
Description: long non-coding RNA (HVUL_LNC021324)
Source: RNAcentral